CUGUAAAGUCAGGCUGCUUGCCUUGGCUCUUUUAAAAGGCAGAGCCACAGAGAAGGCGGUGCUCUGGGAGGAACCAAGGAGAAACCAAUGAGCAGCCCCUAUUAGGCCUAGGUCAAGUGUGCUGGUCCAGAACGCAGCCUGCAAGCACCAGGUAUGAAGGGUCUGGGGUGGGAGAAGGCUGGUCCCCGCUGACGCCCAGCCCUUCCAGGUUAUGGUCCCUGCGAUGCUCACCGGCUACAUGUCCCUGAGAGGAGUCUCUGCGUGGUUGCUGAGCCGCAAGCUCGGCCUGCGCUUCUCGCGCGUUCCACGUACGUGGAGCUCGGCGGCCGCGCACACGGGUCAGUGCAGGGCUCCGGAUGGGUGGGCAGGGAGACACAGGAAACUUUCUAAGUGUGACUUUCUCAUCCUUUGUUUGCAGAGAAGACACAGAUCCGAUCGGUCAAAUGUAAGGAUCACCUACCCACCUACUCCCGGUCCAGCUGUUUCUUUGACCCAUAGUAGUCUGUGAAUGCAAGGACUUCUGGGAAGGGAGGCUGGGCUGUGCUCAGGGUCAGAAGUCUAAAGUAGUGGGUGUUUGUUUCUACUGGACUGGAGAGGAGUUGCGUUUGUUAGACUGUUUUGAAGCCAGAAUCCGCCUGGAGCGAGAUGGGGGGAAUUGGGUGCAGCUUAGAAAUGUUGAAGAGGAGGCAGGGAUCUGGCUGACUUGACCCUCAUACCCUACCAGCCUCUCGUCCUGUGUUUGACUGGAAGGACCCACUGGUCCUGGAGGAGCAGUUGACUGCCGAUGAGAAACUCAUCAGGGACACCUUCCGUAACUACUGCCAGGAACGACUUAUGUCUCGAAUUCUGCUGGCCAAUCGAAAUGAAGGUGCCUUGAUGGAAGGGUGGGCACUCUGAGUUCCACAACCAUACAUGAUUUGCACUCGCUGCAGUCCCUGGAGUCAGGGACUCUAUCAAAGGGCAUAAUUCUGACACCCAUCUCUGCAGUUUUUCACAGGGACAUUGUAUAUGAGAUGGGGGAGCUGGGUGUGCUGGGAC
Molecule: long non-coding RNA, 1038 nt
Filed under: Rattus norvegicus (Norway rat)
Lineage: Eukaryota; Metazoa; Chordata; Mammalia; Rodentia; Muridae
Description: long non-coding RNA NONRATT014577
Source: RNAcentral